Molecule: long non-coding RNA, 21692 nt
Filed under: Aquilegia coerulea
Lineage: Eukaryota; Viridiplantae; Streptophyta; Magnoliopsida; Ranunculales; Ranunculaceae
Description: long non-coding RNA (ACOE_LNC002281)
Rfam family: tRNA (bases 11747-11818)
Source: RNAcentral
GGCUCUUUCCCGAGUUCCCCCUGUUGUUGCUGCCCCUCUUGCUUCCUCUGCGCUUGGUUCGGAAUCUGCUGUCCUUCAGAAUCUUCCUAGGUUUGUCUUCUGUACUUUGAGUCCUUCUCAGUUUUUUCCCACCCCGGUUUGGAUUUCAGGUUUUUGUUUUGGUUAAGCAGCUUGCAACCUCUACGGUUUCCAUCUGCGACUUCGAUUCCAUCUACCUCAGGUGUUGUGCGGGAUGUCCCUUUUUUUAUUAUGUGUUGUAAGUGUUUUCCUUCCCCAUGUUGUUUUCGGUUUUGAUAGACCGCAUCAUCUGUUUUGUUGUUCCUGUAUUAUUACUUCAUUCAGGGUCCCAGUCGCAACUUCUUCCCAGAUAAUUUCUGAUCCGUUCCAUUGUAUUAAUUCUUCUGAACGUCGUUCCCUAGGCCAACGAAUUGCAAUUUCUCCUCAGAUUUUACACCCAACAAUUGUGUAUUUGCAAUUUCUCUUCGGAUUCGACAAUUUUGCUUUUGCCCAAGGUGAGGCUUAUUUGUAAUUUGUAAUUUGCUAUUUACAUUUAUUCUUCUACUAUGAGAUACGUUUAUUUGUAAAUGCUCAUUUACAAUUAUUUCACUACUGUGGUUUCAUCAUCAAAUGAGCUUCCCUUUGUCGUGUGAGUUUUCAAUUUACAAUUUCCAAGGUCAGUAUUCCAUUGUCAUUUGCUAUUUAUUGUUUUGUUCUGCUAUUUAUAUAUACUCCAUUAUUCUUCUCUCAUGAGUUCACUUUCAAAUUUAUUUGAUUUUCCAAAUUCCUCAAAAUAUUGAUAUUGUAUUUCUCUUUCAAAGUAAGUCCUUCUUCCAAAAAAUUUGCCCUUAGUUUGGUAAUAAUGGUUUGACAAAACUGAAAAGCUUAGCCAGUUAUGAUUAGUGAUAGACGAACGAGAAAAAUGUUCGGCUAGACAAAAACACCAUGUUGUAGUAGGAUUUAGUAAUUACUUGCCACACUAUUGACCAUUGAACUUGAUCGUGGACAUUUCCUUAUUAUUGAUAUAAAAUCUCACCAUCAUUUUAUUUAAUAUUGCAAAUAUCUGCACGCACAAAGGGAGUGGACUGGACUGGGAGCAAUUGAGGUAUGUCCUAUGUGACUAUGUCUCCCUACCCCUGAUCGCAUACAUGUUUUGUAUAAAAGCAAUGAGGAAAAGAAUGAAACUAGAUAAUAGGUCUGUAACCAGCUACAAGAGUUGCUAGAUGCACAUUAAUUCCUUUUGGUGCAAAAUAUUAUCUCAACUGACAAGAAAUGGCUUCUACGAACUGAAGACGAGUUGAUCAACAGAUAGCUUUUCGUACCCCUGCUCUCUUUAAGGUCAAUUCAAGCCCUAUUGGUCAUGUUUUGGCCCUUCCCCUUAUAUACUUUUCUCAUAGCAAGGUAUUUUAAUGUGAGUUAUAUGUCCAAGGCAUUUCAGCAUUCAUUGGCUAGGUAUGCAUCCCUGGUCAUGUCUGCCAAGUCCCUGUCGAAGACAUUGUAGUUUCAAGGCUGUGAUCUUUGGCUUUAGAUAUGUAGCACAGGUGAGGUCAUGAGAAUUGAUUAUGAGUUCCUGUUGCAUUUGCUAAGGCUCAGAUAGCUGCUGCCAGAGGCUACAAACUUUUGGCUUGAGUGAUUGACGAAGCAACGUCUGCCCACUAUAGACUUGCCAAACAUUUGUGGGUGUUUAGCUACCAAAACAAAUAUUGACUAAAAGGUAACAUAGAUAAACUAAUAUGAUUUAAAAUUCAUAUGCGAACAAAGAUUUAGUUUACAAGUGAUUACUAUGUUCAGGAGUUUGUUCAAAAUUGAAUUGUUGUCAUCUGCUACAUAUUGUAUGAGAUACUAAUCUAAUUUGAUUGUCAAAUAGGAUAAUGAUUUUCUCUGUGGUCAUGAUAUUCUAAGCUUUUUUAAGAGACCUUCAUUUGUAAUGUUUUUUUAGCAUGAUAUAUACAAGCUGCCAAUGGGUAUUCCCUUCGCAUGAAGCAAAUCUUAUUUUUCACAGUGAAAUCUACCAUUUAUUUUUAUACUUCCUCAUUGCUAAAUGAUUUCUAAAUUUUAUCGUACAGAUAUAACUAUUAUGGAACAACAAACGGAGGUAGACAUACAUAGACAAUUCCAGCGACGAGUUGUGGUAUGUACAUUCAGGCCACAUUUGUGAUCUCCUUUUCUAUUGGAUUUGAAGAAACCAGCCACAUAAAAACCUGUUAUACUUUUCUUCUAUAAUAGAUGAUUAUGAUGAUGCUGCAAAUUAACUGUCUCUUUUUCGACAUCAUCUCCAAAUGGGUAUCUAUCAUUGGUGGACUUAUUACAAUACCAAGUAGAUUAUGGAUAUACUUUUUCAUUGAUUAAAUUGUUCAUUUGGGGUCUAACCUUGAUUAUGAGAAUUGAGCAACGAAUGAUUUUUUCAGAUAAAUGCAUCUACAAGAGAUGAUGGGCUAAACAUUAAUGAUCAUGGUCAUCAGCUUGAGCAUGUUCAACCUAUUAUUGGUUCUUCUCCGUCCACUUCCAUACGCAUCUAGGUCAUUUAAGGUUCAUGUCGUGCAGGUAUGUCGAGGUUGUUUUCGGUAGUGGACUCAUGUUAUGAUUUUGAGCACGCGCGUCUUCUUAUUUUUGUAAGCAAUCUAAACUAUUCAUGGAUGAAGUAAUUUGCCAUAUUGUUAGUUACUUCUCCUACCUAGGUUUAGCAGUCCAAAAAUGCUUAAUCGACAUUUACUUUGACCCGCCUUUGAUUUAAAGUAUCCAAGACACCUUCCCCUGUGGCUCUCUGUUACCUGCAUUUAAGGUUAAGCCAUGGUGAUCAUAUUGAGCCCUGUUAUUACUUUUUGUUCCUGAUUCCUUUUUUUUCCUAUACCUAUGUAGUACUUUUCUUUCUUUAUCUCUUGCAACAGCACACAACACAUUGGCAAGGAUUGGUUUUUCAAAAUGUCAUGUUUAUUUAGAAUAUUCCAUUCUCCACCAUAUUUUAUUUAAAUGUCUGGUGUAGCUCGGUUGGUCGAAACAUGUGACUUUUAACCCACAAAGUCGAGCGGUCAAGCCAUUCCUCUAGCAUUUGCAUUUUUUUUUUGAUAAGUUUUGAUUUUUAACAUUAUGUGCAUAAUUAGUUGAAGGAACUACAAGGUUGGAGAUUUUGCACCCUAUCCCCCCCCCCCAUCAUGUGCCUUGAUCAUUGAAAUAUUUACACGUAAAUAAUAUUUAAUUUACUUCAUUUUUUAUCAAACCCAAACGAUUAAAGAUUUGUAAUCUGUGUGUUUAGACUUUAGAGUGCCGAUACCGACCUAUGCAUUAUUCUGAAUUCUGACUAAAAAGCAAGUUCUAUAAACUUAUAAAAGUGCAUUUCCAGUCAGUGAAUUGUAAAAACAGAUUUUCGGCAAAUUUCUUUUUACCUGGAGUCAUUUAAAUUGGUCAGUAUCAAUGCUAGAUGUUAACCUUGGUUUAGUUAAAAUGAGAAUGAGUCCUUCAAAUUGAGUGCUGAGACUGAAUUUUGUUUGAUUACAGAUUACAAGAUAAAUAACUAUUCUUCAGGUUAAUAAAUAUUUGCAUAGUUAUAUAUACUGUCAUCUGCCACAUUCACGUAAAAAAAUUCAAUGUUGGAGUUCAAGCUUUAUUGCUUUUAGAUAAGAUUUCUUCCAAAAAUCAGGUUUUCAGUUAUAGGGUUUUACUGAGCAUUGUAUUCACAACUUCUUCUCCCUGCUGCAAUGAAUUCUUUAAAAGGUAUGUUGUUUGCUGUUUCCCGAUUGAUUAGAUGAAUAUUUUAUUGCCGUUCAUUUUUUAUGAUGCAUGAAACAUACAUAUUCAUAUAAUGGGUUAUUGUUGACUAUCUAACCAUUUUGAAUGAUUCAUCAUUGGUUAUUGUUGUGGAAUGGGACCGUCAAUUUUUUUUGGUAUAGUUUUCGAUUUUUAGAGCACUACAUAUAUGUGAUAUUCUAUCUGUGAAAAAUAUUUUUUUGACAAAUCUCGGGAAAAUAAUUGGCUCUUUGUGUAUACGUAUUGGAUUUCCAUGCCGAACCCAUUUGCAGGUGCUAUCAUACAGAUACAGGUUUGGAUCAGGCAGCAGGAUCAUCAGAUAUUUUUACAAAGGUAAUAGAUUAAGUUAAUUAUAUGCCUUUCUAUUGUUGUUGUUCUUUUUUUGGAGGACGUCAAUGAAAUAUCAACUUAUUUAUUUGUAUUAGGUUGAUUUGUAUCCACAUAAUCAAAUAAGUCAUUUGGUAUCAACUCCACCGCUUUCUUGACGAUCUUUAUCAUAAAGAACAUGUGGGCAGAAGGAAAGAAGUGAUUUUCGACCUCUAUCAGUGACAAGAUUCUUUCCACAACGUGCUUGAAGAGAACGAGAAGGAACUAUUUCAUUAUCGACUUCAGUCUUCUAUUAUUCAACUUCAGAGUCUCUCUCUCUUUCUUUUUUUGCGUUUUCUCAAUCUCUCACUCUCCUUCUCAUGUCCAAACAUAGGUUUCCAAAUAUCUCAUCUUGAUUUUUAAAAGGAUUAUAUGUGUUUGAAUUUUCCAUUGUUUGUGUUGUAAACAUAUGUUUUUUUUCGCAGGAAUAUGCAACAGAGACACCUUUGACGGAUAAAUCAUCAUCAUCUGGAGAUGGAAAAAUAUCACCUACUACAAUAUAUCAUCCGUCUGUAAUUCUGGUAAGGGUUUUUUUCCCCCUUUCUUAGCAAUAUAAUGAAGUUUUUGGUAAGACAAAUUUCUUAAAUUUAUUAAGGUUUUGCUUUUUGAUGAUUUAGGAUCACGAAACUGGAAUUUGGUGUCAGCUCGAAGAAAGAGACCUCAAAGGGCAUCUGAAACUUAGCUGCGACUUUUAGUCUCUCUUCCCUCUCCUAUUAAUUUCCAAUCAUUCCCUCACCAAGGAGGUCCAACAAAUAUAAAAUGGUAGGAUUACUUUUAUUUGUCAUAUAUUUUUCUUUGUUUUUGAAAGUUGGAUUGAUUACCAAUUUCAUUUUUUUUAAACUCUCAGAUUGAUACUAUGGUAUUUCUGGUAUGCCACAGUUAAUAGUUUUGUUUCUUCUUCAGGCAUACACACAUGUUGCAUGCUAUCAAAUGAACUUACAACUUUUAUCUUGCUUUGUUUGUAGUUGAUUGUUUCAAUCCAUUAGGUAACAACUAUAUUUCAUGUCCUCCACUGAGUAAGAGGAAAAAAAUUCCGCCAAAGGAUUUACAACAUUUUCCCUUAAUGAAUUUUUCUUAACUGAGCAGCCAAGUGGAAGAGCACUUGAUGGUAAAAUUGUAAAAAUAGGCAAGACAAAUACCACAAUUGAAACGUUUGGGCCAGUCCUUCGAAGAUGGAUUCGCACGUAGUCAAUGCUAAAAAGGUACAUUCCUGAUUGAUUUAUAAUGUUUUAAUAUAUUUUGAUUUGUUAGAGUUUUUUUUCCCUGAUGCGUGAGAGUCUAUUACAAGUUCCAGAAGUUUAUUUAUAUAAUAGUUAUUCCCCCAAUGCUUUAAAUUUUAGGCUCAAAACUUACCAAUUAAUAAGCUUAGCAUUAUUUUUCAAAUUGAAGAUUUUAGUGGAUCAUUGGUGUAUAAUGUUGUUAUGAUGUAGUAAAGAACCAUUUAUUCCAAUGAGCAGGACAAGGCAAUUAUCCUUGAUUCUGAAUAUUUUUUUGGUUUUUCUUAAGGGAACACAUAUCGUUUCCAACGCCCGAUGCUCAAAUUUAGGCAACCUAUUUCAAUUAGGCCUUUUUAUCCUUAGUCCAUCGACCGGUCUGUAUUCUCAAACUCCGAAGGCAUCACGUUUACUCAGGAAACGACACAUCUAUUCUUUCUCACAUAAUCAUUGUUGUAGUAGUAUUUGCUAUUCAUUAUUUUUCUAUGAUUGAACCUAUCUUUACAGGACGAUGAGUCUUUUGAAGACUACACGCCAUUGAGCAAGCAGAGGCACACGGUUUUUACAUUACUAAAUUGUACCACUUGCCCACAAUAAUUGAUUUAGUAGUCCGAUUCGAAUCUUGAUUCUGUAUCAGAAGAGGAGGUCACAACAUCUUCUUCCCCAGCCAGAAAAGUGGUCUUCAUUCUUAGUUUCAUUAUUGUUAGGUGUUAACUAACAACAACCAUGUCAGCUUAUGAUAUUGUCUGAGAUGUAACACCAUAUCGGUUCCAAUAGCUUGGUUUAUCUUCAUAUUACCAUAUGAUGAACUUUGUGAUAUAUUUGGUUUUAGUACUGUGACAAGGAAGAAGAAAUACACAGUGGCUGUAGGUUACUAAGUGAAUGGCAGAAAGAAGAGAUAUUAAGGUUGUCCAAUGCUGCAGGUACUGAUGCUGCAUUGCUGCUGAUAAUGGUUGGAAGAUGUUGACGCUGCUGAACUUAUUACUGCUUCUAAAUUGUGUUUCUUUACCGCCCCGCUACAUUUUUAGUCCUGACUGUUAGUUUUCUUUUAUGUAACUCAGAAUGUAUAGGAAUGUAAAUUUUCUUACCUUGAAUAUUAAUACUAUACUUUUUCAUAAUAACUCUUGCAGAGAAGCAUUCCCAGCACUAAAUCUCCACUCAUACUCACAACAUCAGAACUUGAUAAUCCAUUUUUUAGUAAUAACAGGUCACAUUUGUGCAUGCAAAAUGCACCAUAAUUCAAUAUACAGCUGACAUUUGAAUAAAACACGGAAAUCGGACUUCAUAUAUUCCAUAGAAACCGAAAACACUCCUCCCUCUUCUCAGACUUCAUAUAUUCCAUAGAAACCGAAAACAUUCCUCUCUCCUCUCUGCUUCCUAUUUCAAAAGUCCAUCGUCUGAGUCCAUUUUCAUAUGUAAUCAACUCCCACCAUUCCCGCAAUAACAAUAGAUAUUAGUUUUUUUAUAUUCCCAUCAACUUAUUUCUUUUAGUUCUUUAGCUAUAUAUUUAUUUCAAUUUCACGUCCACCGUAUGACCUCCAACAUUCUAUAUUUACAAAUUCAAUAAUCAAAUUCGUAAUAGACAACUUCAUUGCAACAUCAAUAUAGUUGGGAAUUAGUUCUAUUAUAUGUACAUUACUGCAUAACUUCUUCCAUAUAAUAUAUUCAUUCAGACAAUUUACAAUCCCGCAACAACCCUAGGAGGUCUACCCGCAAGUGCCGAAGGCACGGGUCACCUGCUAGUAUAUAGAUAGUAUAUACUUAAGAUGACCCUAAAUACCCAAAAAAUUUGUGUCUGCAAAUAUCUACAGUAAAAUGCCUUUAAAUAGAAAAGGUUAAUUUCGUCAUUCACUUCCCUAUCUCCAAAACCUUCAUCUCUUCUCUCUUAAACAGUUAAACCUUCAUCUCUUCUCUCUCACUUCCCACCUCCAUAAAACCUUCAAUGGCGGCGGAAAAUGACGACAUCACCCUUGAAAACCCUAAUCCACCAUCAUCACCAUUACCAUCGUCACAACCAUUACUUUCGAAGAAUGCACAGAAAAAACUCAUAAAACAAAAGAAAUUUGAAGAAAAGAAACUCCAAAAGAAAGCAGCAAUUAAAGAAGAAAAACAAAAAGAAGGAGAAAGAAAAAGAAAAGAAUGGGAAGAGAAAUUAUCAAGUUUAUCAGAAGAAGAAAAAUUGAAAUUGAUAGAAUCAAGAAAAGAAAUGAGGAAAGAAAGAAUGGAGAAAAGAUCAGAAGAAAAAAUUAAAAAGAUUGAGAAAAUGAAUAGAGCUAAAGAAUCUGGUCAAAAGAUUGUUCUUGAUCUUGAAUUUUCUGAUUUAAUGACUUCUAAUGAGAUUCAUAGUCUUGUUCAGCAGGUUAGAUUUUUAAUUUUUAAUUUUUAUUUUGCGCGACUUUUGAUUAUUAUUAUUAUUAUUAUUUAUAGUUAAUGUAGGAGUUCAAGUGAUAAAUCAAGAAAUUAUACAAUUUGACUGUAUGUAUAUGAAUAUUUGUCGAAAGAAUUUAGUUAAUGUGUAUAAGUCAAAAAAUAAAAAUAUUAGCAUUAAAGCGAAGAGUCAGAAGAAAUUUCUAAAGAUUACUCUAUAAUUAAGAGAAAACAGUAGUUAGAUCACCUCUAUUAUGUCAAAGAUAAAGUAAACAUGAUGAAGAAUGGAUUUAGGUAAAUUGUUAAGAAAGCAAUAGACUAUUGGAGUUCGAUUGCCUUUUUAGCAAUUUACUUGAAGUUAUUCUUCAUCGCAUAUUUGUUCUCUUUGACAUGGAAGAAGUAAUUGAAUUAAUGUUUUUAUCUAAUUUUUUAUUUGUAGAAAUUUUCUCCUAUUCUUAAUAAUGAUGCUAAUGUUUUUCUAUGAUCAAAAUUAUAGCAGAGACUUCUAAUAAAAACCAUGAAUAACUAAUAUGUUGGCUAGAAUUGAGGUUUUUAGAUGGUGGUGACAAUAAACAAUUUAACCUAUCUAAUUAGUAAUUAUCCUUAUCUUCAUCAUAAAAUACAUUAAUGUUGAAGUGAAGGGUAUGAAGAGAUUUCCAAAGUGUACUCUAAAAUUUAGAUAAAGCAUGUAUUGAAUUACUUGUCUCCUGUCAAAAACAAAUAAGAUGUGAUGUAGAAUCUCAUUGGGUAAGUUGUUGAAAGUUGAAAGCUUUCCCUUUGUUUGUGUCAAUUGUUCAAUCCUUUGUUCUCUUUUUAAUAAUAUACAUUGUAGUCAGUUUUAUAUUGGUGUGCGCGAUGUCCUCUUGAUGAGAAGAACUAGCAACAUUGAUGGCAUAGGUUAAGUGAGUGUAAGAGUAAGAGAAAGAGAUUGGUUAAAAUCCAUUGCGAAUUGAAGAAGCUUGUAAUCUAAGAGAAAAAGAGUGUGAGAGAUUCGAACUGAUUAGUAAUGAUAUUUCGAAAAGAGAAAAGAGUGAUAGUGAGUGAAAUCUGAUCUCUAAAACCCUAAUCUCUUAGUUGCUUGCGAGAGUGAAAGGGUCAGAGUAGUGACUAGUGAGAGACUGAGAGUGAGUUUGAUCUCUAAAACCCUAAUCUCUUAGUUGUUUGUGAGUUGUGAGAGUCAAAGAGUGAGAGUGACCGAAUGAGAGUAGUGACUAGUGAGAGAUUGAGAGUGAGUCUGAGCAACUAAAAGAUUAGGGUUUUAGAGAUCAUUACCAAUCAGUUCGAAUCUUUUUCUCUUAGAGUACAAACUUCUUCAAUUCGAAAAUGGAUUCUAUCUAAUCUCCUUCCGCUCACUCUCACUUAUCCUCUACCACCAACGUUGUUGGUUCUUCUAAUGAAGAGGACAUCGCGCGCGCCAAUAUAAAAAGACUGCAAAUAUUUAUCGUUCAAGAACAAAUGAAGGAAAGUUUUCAACAAAAGAAAUGGGCUUUUAAAGUUCAGAGACUAGAAGAUAUGAAUAAAACCGUAAGUAAGAAACAUUUAGUAUUAAAUAUUGUUGAUUUUAUUUAUUUAUCAAAUAUAACUGUAAGUUUUAAUGGUUUUCUAUCACAUUAUUAAUAUUACGACAUAUUAUUAUCCUACGUUAUGACAUCAAUCUAUUCCAGUGUGUUCCAUUUUUAACUCUCAAAGUUAUAUACAGUUAUAUUUUCAUGCCCUUGCUGCAGUGGUGUACUAAUUUUACAAUAUUUGCCAUAUUAUUGUUGUGUCUGUAUGGUACCCAAUAUUACUUCUAUCUACGCUUCUUUGUUACUUCUCUCGGGUUUAUGUUCUUUUAUAAAUUUUUCUGUCUUUUAUGUGUAGAUAGAAAGUCUUGGUAUUGAUGUACACUGACUCAUGAUGGAUUAGUGUGCCCAUAUUUAUAUCACACCUUAUUAAUGGAAUAAUCUGUUUAAUUGGUAAAAAAGAAGGAAGAAUUGACUGUCUGUAGUUGUAUCAGCAGUAUUUUGGUUCAAUUAACAAUGCCUACCUUCAGUUUGUAAAUUUUUGAUGCCAUUGAAUUGUAAAUACCAGGUGGUUGUCAUACACAUACGCUUGGGCAUUGGUGCAUAUCUAUCUUCCCAUGUUCACACAACACUAGUAAUUUUCAUUGUUCACUUGCAUUAACCUGAUCUCUUCACUCCUAAGACAGUGAUGCUGACUCAGCAAUUGUCUUAGAAUGUUUCUACUAAGAGUAGUUAUUUCUAAUGUCUCUAACUUUUUAAAUUUUAGUUUCAAAUUACAUACCUAAUUACUAAUGUUUGCUGCAGAUUAUGUAUUGUUAUGCAGUGAAUGGACGAUGUAAUUUACCAGCCAAUCUCUGGUUAACUGGAUGUGGAGGAGAACUACAAACACAACUACAAAGGAUCCCUGGAUUUGAUAAGUGGAUGAUUGAGAAGGAGAACAGGUCAUAUAUUGAAGCCUUUGAACAUCAGAAGGAAAAUCUGGUUUAUCUCACGGCAGAUGCAGAAACUGUGUUGGAUGAUCUUGAUCAAAAGAAAAUAUACAUCAUCGGUGGGUUAGUAGAUCGAAACAGAUGGAAAGGGAUAACUAUGAAAAAAGCAAAUGACCAGGGGAUUUCAACCGCAAAGCUUCCUAUUGGAAGUUUCUUAAAAAUGUCGAGUUCUCAGGUAGCUAAUAUUGAACUUGUCAUGUCCUUAUUCACAAUGAAUCUGAUAUUCAUACAGUUAUAUCUAAACGUACUUAUAUUAUGCAAAAAAAAUUGUGACUUCUCUCAUUCUUAUUGACACCUUCAUUGUAUUGAUGCUAGAAACUUUUCCAUGAUUAAACUUGAGCCAUGAUCUGUCAUAUUAUCUUUCUUCAUUUGAAUUGGAUGUAGAACACUGUUUUGUUCUGCCAGCUGGAUCAACAAAAAGCCUCUUUCAUUAAUAAAAAUAAUAAUUCUGCCACCGGGAUUAGAGUACACUGGCAUCACUUUAUGUUUUUUCAUGGUUAUAUGUGAUAUUGAUGUUGACAUAUGAGGAUUUUUAGCCCAAGUUUACUGGGUAGCAGGGAUUUCCUAUGGUCAUCAACUCAUCAUCUAAUGUAGCGCACAAUACUGUGUUCACCUGAUGAUCUGUGGUGCAAGCACAUGAUUUUUCGAUUUAGUCCCUUGUUGAUAUUUUAUUUUAUAUCACAGAUGGAUGGUUACAGCCAUCCUGCGUGUGUGCAAUGGACAAGCACAGCCACGAUACAUUUCACCACCUUUUGAUUGGUUCAAAAAAUUUCUUACAAAGUUGUGAUAAGAAACUUUUGGUAGACAGGUGCUUUGGCAGACAUGGUUCAAUCUGCGAAGUGUUAUUUCAGAAAGUAGUGUUUUUUCAUGCAAUGAUAAUUUCAUAAUUCUUGCCAAUCAUAUAGUUUCCUUUUGCAAUAUCCUUCAUGAAUAACAUGUUCUGAUAUAUUUGGGCUAAGCAGGUUCUCACUGUGAACCAAGUGGUUGAGAUCCUUCUCCAGUUUUCAGAAACAAGAGAUUGGAAGACUUCAUUCUUUCAGGUGAUUCCUCAAAGAAAACGUUGUGAAGCUGAAGCAGAAGCAGAAGCGGAAGAACAAGAGGAUGAUGCUGAUCAAGCUGAUAUAAAAAAGAAAUGUAUUCAACAACCCUCGUCUGAUGAUGAGGAUUCGCCAACUUGAGCUUGCUUGUUUAACCUAAUAAAGCACAAAUUUUUUUUAUACUUUUGGACGCUCGAGUUCAUUAUUUUUAUCAAGGCAAAGGGUCAGGUUUUCUUAAGAGUCACUGUUUUCUUUCGUAUUUCAAAAGUGGUACAGUCUACCGUUUUCAUUUCAAACAGGCAGAGCUGUGCAUCAUAAGUACCUAGACAUCAAUUAUGACUGAAACAUGGUAUACUAAUGUGAAACCAUAUAGCAAUUUCAUCUAAAUACAGAGAUUAAAUUUCCUAUACAACAUCAUCAAUUGCCACACAUCUUUGAGUGGAUUAUUUUGGUAGAUCGGAUGUGUGAAUGUGCUUGGAGCCUUGGAUGCUGCAGUAAUAUAAUAAAGUAGGCUUUAAUUGAAUCAACGGGCUUCCAUAGCAUAGUGGUAGUGCGUUCGCUUCGUAAGCGAAAGGUCGCGAGUUCGAUCCUCGCUGGGAGCUAUGCUAUGUAUCCAUUUUAUUUUACUUUUUUUCUUUUUCCUGUGUUUUCUAAACUGUUUGAUGAAAUUCCCCACAGAAAAUAAAGUUCAGAGAAAGGCACAAAUGUAAUACACAAACACUUAAACUUUUUAUUCAUUAAAGAGAUUAAAGAGUUUAUCUCCAUCAAACCUGAAUUUUUUUUUUUCCCAGUGUUUUCUAAUCUGUUUGAUGAAAUUCCCCAAAGAAAAUUAAGUUAAAAAUAAAGGCACAAAUGUAAUAUACAAACACUUAACCUUUCAUUCAUUAAAGAGAUUAAAGAGUUUAUCUCCAUCACACCUGAAAUAUUUUUUUCCCUGUGUUUUCUAAUCUGUUUGAUGAAAUUCCCCAAAGAAAAUUAAGUUAAAAAAAAAGGCACAAAUGUAAUACACAAACACUUAACCUUUCAUUCAUUAAAGAGAUUAAAAAGUUUAUCUCCAUCACACCUGAAAGGAUUACACACUGACAGUAGUACGUAAACAUAAACUCGACGACAGAAAGAAAAAAAAAACACAUAUACAUGAGAUCUCAAUGGAUCUCUUUUGACACUGCGUGACAACUUCAUAACAUAACACACCACCAUCCUAAUAAACCUCCUCAGCCAAAUUCACCCAAUCUUCCCCAACACAUUAAUACUCAUAUCAUAGAAGAAAUCGUCUUCUAGAUCAUCUAUAAUGUGCAUAAGGAUCAAAGUAACUCAUGUUGUGGCCUUGACCCUGCUGGUUCUGGUUCUGGAGCUGGUUCAUAUUCCCCCCGUGUUCCUGCUUGAAGUAAGGUCCAGGACCAAUUGGUGGAGCCAAUACACCCUGGUGAGGAGAAAUUUGGAAAGGUGGUGCAGCAAAUCCAACAGCACCCAUUGGUUGCAUUUCCACAGUACGUUUCACCAAUUGAUCAGACCUUGAACGCUCAUUUUCAAAUUCACGGUAGCGUUGCAUAAAGAGAGUAAGAGGAGCAAUGUACUCAUCGAAACCAAGUUUGCCCAUAGCCCAAAGUACAUCUUCAGCAGUGAUAGUUUUGCGUUGUUCCUUCUGGCAGCGGUCAUUAGCUUCACUAGUAAUGAAGCUGAUGUACUCAGAAACACAUUCCUGAAUUGUUUCCUUGGCAUCGUCAGCAAUCUUUGCAUGAGGUGGAAGGAUCCUACGCAUAAUGCGAAUCACAUUUGCUAUUGGCAUGUAGCGAUCCUGUUCGCGCACAAUGCAAUAACUGUCAUGAUGACCAUUGUCCUCACCAGUGCUUGAGUGGUUCUCCAAAAGUUGUUGCACCUUCACUGUAUAAAAUAUAGUUUCGCAAAAUUGGGUCAAAAUGAGCGCCAAGUAUAUCUAUUAAUCAUACCAAAAUUGAGUCAAAAUGCGCGCCAAAUAUAUAUCUAUUAAUCAUACCAAAAUUGGGUCAAACGCGCCAAAGAAUGCAGAUUUGACCCACAUGGGGUUUUCUUGUGGGUCAAUUUUGUAAAAUGGGUACCCAUUAACACAUCUACUAGUGGUAGUUUUUUAAUGACAAAUAUAUCCCUACUUCACUACAAAGGUCAAUAAAGUAAUUUCAAAUCAGAUAAAAAGACAAAGACGCAUGCGUUAGUCUUACGUGAGAAUCUGGAGCUUAGCAUGUAACUUUGUCUUUUAGAAGAAAAAAUUAUCUAGCGAACGUGGUAGUAAGAAUCUUAUAUGACAUCACUCCUUUUUUGUCCAUUUGAUUUAGAAGUUACAACAAAUCAAAACUUCCACAUGAGUCCAUCAUUCAUAAAAGACAAAAACUUUGGUAACAAAAGACAAAAUCAAAGAAAGCUGUUUUUUUAUUCAAAAACAAUAAAAAAAAUCUUAACAAAAAGACAAACAUGGUAUGGUAGUAGUAAUUAAAAUAAGUCAAAAGUCAUGUAAAAAGUAAUUAAUAGUGAAGAAAAAAAUUCACAUUCAUUGGACCUAGCUUUCAUAAACACCUUAUUGGUGAGUUUAGUCUUCUUCCUAAUAAAUGUAAAAAAAAAAAUCCUAUAUAUUUUUUUUUAUAAAAUUCAAAUUUUAUUGAUAAGCUUAACGAAUUACACAAAAGUAGAGGACAAACGCGCUACAAACUGCGCGGCAAGUUUUGACAGAUACCAUAUUUUACCAAAAAAAAAUAAAAAAAUACCAAUUUUAUUAAGCAUUAAAUUUUAAUUAGAACCAUCUGAUUAUCAAAAUCUUCAUCAUAUCAGAAAAAGGAAAGAAAGAUAGCUAGUCUAGGUAGGGUCUAAAUCUUAAGUGGGUCAUAACACCCUGCAUGUUUGACACAUGUGUUAGAACAAGGGGUAUGAGAUUCAAAAAUAUCAUGUCUUCUUUAACACACACACACACACAAGAAAUCCUGCAAAAAUGAGAAGUUUUCUUGUUAAAAAUACAAGAUCUAGCUAGAAGAACAAAAAAUUGAGCAGAAAUCAUACAUAUAUUGUAGCUAUUUUUAACACAAAGAUCAGAUCAAACACAUAGAAAAACAUCAAAGGAAUCACAGUAUACCAUCAAAGCUAGCAUUACAUGCAAUGAAAAGAUGGAAGAAGAAAAGAACAAAAAGCCCUAAAAACAAAGCACCUCUUUCUCUUUUGAGUUGACAAAUCUUGUAAAGGAUCAAGAUGUGGUAAUGGCAAAAUGUAGAUGAGAAUUUAAUUAAAACAAUGGUGAAGUAAAUAACAUUUGCAUGUAUGAAUUCAUCUAAAAUUAAAUCAAUGGUGCCUGCAUGUAAGAGAUCAAAAUCAAAAACAAAUGAAAGAUAUGUAAAAGAGUGAUAUAUAGAUGAUGAGUUUGUUUAUGAAAGAAGAAGCAUUUUUAUACCAGAUUUUGGUACAGUUGGUGGCUUUGGAGGUGGAAAUAAACCAUUGAAACCUCCUCCUCUUGAUCCUUCCAUCUCUAGCUAGCUAGCUCUUUCUCUCUCUACUUUCUCUCACUUCAAGCUAAGGUGAUUGUGUUACUAGUUGAGGAAGUAGGUGGUAUUUAUAGAAUACAAAUACUAUUCCAUGUGUCAACUGGCGGUGGAAACAAGGAAACUGGUUUACUUGGUGGUAACACACUACACACUACUAGCUAGUAUAGUCUUCUUUGGACCUUGGUUGGACUCAAGAAAGUGUGUGUAAAAUUGUUACAAAAUUUUGUGUAACAUCUCCACGUUUCCAUAAUUUACCACUUGUUUCUUGUUUAGUGGUCUAUCAAGAUAAAACUACCAAAUCAAGAUCACCAAUCUUUGGCAUCAUUGUUUCAUGUAUUGCAUUGGUGUAACCAACAUUAAUGUUGUAUUAUGAAUGGUAUAUACAAAUACUCUAUACAAGAAAAUGUAUUUACAAAUGGGAUACAACAAGUAGUUUAGAUUUUGAAUUGUAUUGAAACCCUAGAUUUGGAAAUUGAAUGCCUCUAGUUUAGGAUUUAAUUUAAGAUUGGGAUGUUGGGACUACUUUAAUAAAGAAUUUUUAUCGUUACGCACUUUUUUUAUUUGUUUGGAAAGAAUUUGCUUAGAUAUUGUGAAGAAUGUACAUUCGUGGUUUAGAUUUGCCUUGAUACUUUCAUGACGAGUGUCAAAAUGGUGUAUAAGUUCCUUUUAAAAUUAGGUUAGAUUCGCUUAAUUAUUCACAAGCCGCGUGUCACAACUCACAAUGGCAUAUAAGUUUUGUAUAACUAUUCGACAAAAAAUAACAAACAUAGUACUGCGAAUACUAUUUUCAUAGUUUCUUCAUAGUUUCGUGGAUCUUUCAAUACGUGUCAUAACUAUAUUGUCGGAAUGUACUUAUUUCACUAAUCAUAAAUUUCUUUUUCCCAUAUGCCAAAGGUGGUUAAGUUGAAUCUAUUCAUUUAUAGUUAAGACGACUGUCAAAUUGGUAUAUAAGUUUCUCAAAAAAUUAGGUUAGAUUCGCUUAAUCAUUCACAUGCCGCGUGUCACAACUCACAAUGGUAUAUAAGUUUUAUAUAACUAUUCGACAAAAAAUAACAUAGGUAGUAGUGUGAAAGUUAUUUUCUUAGUUUCGUGGAUCUUUUAAUACGUGUCAUACGUAGAUUGUCGGAAUGUACUUAUUUCACUAAUCGUAAUGUUUUUUUUCCAGAUGCUAAAGGUGGUUAAAUUGAAUGUAUUCAGUUAUAAUUAAGACGAGUGUCAAAUUGGUAUAUAAGUUUCUCAGAAAAUUAGGUUAGAUUCGCUUAAUUAUUCACAAGCCGCGUGUCACAACUCACAAUAUAAUGGUAUAUAAGUUUUAUAUAACUAUUCGACAAAAAAUAACAUAGGUAGUAGUGCGAAAGCUAUUUUCUUAGUUUUGUGGAUCUUUCAAUACGUGUCAUAAGUAUAUUGUCGAAAUCUACUUAUUUCACUAAUCAAGAGAUUGUUUUUUUCAAAAGCCGAAGGUGGUUAAAUCAUACUUAUACUUAUGACGCGUGUCAAAAGAAUUUGUGGAAGUUUUGUAAUAUUUGCCUACCUAAAAGUUAUUUAUUUGCCGCAUAUAUGUAAGUUAUGAAUCUUUCGAAAGAUAUUCAACAUGUUCUUAAAAAUUGCAGAGCACAUAUUACAUCUUCUUCUUCAUUGGCAAAAUAUUUAUAAGUGAGACUAACAAUAGGGUGAAAUUUUUUUUCCCCAUUUGGAAAGAUUUAAAUUAGGAUUUGGCCCCCAUAUUUAGGUUAUUAUGAUUGGCUCCUUUUUCGCCUAUUUUCAGUGAAUCCCCAUUUGUCUCAGGGGUCAAUCCUACAGCAAUGUGCCUAAAGAGCAAUCCCUAAAGAGCCAUGGUCUGCUCUUCAAUUUCCAUGCCCUGCACCAUAGAGAAUGGCCCAACAAUAAUGAGUAUAGCGGCGGACUCGGCAGGUUCAUCCUUUGAGGAAAUGAGGCCUCGGUAUUCUGUCAGGACCCAGCCCACUUCAGGUUUCGUUUUGUUGUUAUUAAUACCUGAUUAGCAAGCAAACAAAAUAAGCAAAAGAUAAUCUCUCUUGUAAUUUUCUAUAAUUUCAAUUUUGCAAAUGGUUUAUAUAUGUGGAUCCAUGCAAAUAAUGUCAAAUAUUUACGUCACGCCAAACUGAUCCUUGACACGUGGAUUGACAAGUGGCAUCUUGAUUUCCAAGUGGCACCUAAGCCAGAAUUUACAACAAAUAGAUGAAAAGAAAGAAAAUAAAUCUGCAAAAGGUCUCAACAUUUCUUCAAGAAAAACCUCUUAUAUUCUCUCUUCAAGAAGAAGAAGAAGAAGAAGAUGAGGAUGAUGGUUCUUGCAAAGUUCAUUUUUCUUGCAAUGUUUUGGUUAUCAUCAAUCUUCAUUGGUAGCAAUGCUGGCAGUGGUGUUGGUGAUGAGACUGCAGUGAUGAAGGAUUCCAAAAACAGUACCACUACUACUACUGUCAGUGCUUCUGCAGCAGACAAUAUUCUCUGUCAAAAUUGUUAUAACAUCAUGUGCCCACCUCAAUGUUAUGCUAAUGUUCCUCCACCAUCACCACCUUCGUCGACUUCUCCAUCACCACCUUCGUCGACUUCUCCAUCACCACCAUCACAGCACCCACCUGGUGGAUGCCAACCACCACCACCACCUGUACAAGGCUGCCAAAACGCACCACCAUCUCCUUAUGGAUCUCAACAAUCACCACCUUAUUCACCAUAUCCUUAUUCUACUUAUCAGCCACCACCUACUAAUUACUAUCCAUCAGCUGCACCUAGUUUGGAAACUUUUCCCUCAACUGAACUCAUAAUCACUCUUUUCUCCUCAUUUGUUUUCAUGCAUCCCCAACUUUUCUGAUCGUCGUCGAUGUCUUUUGUUUUUGGCCUAUUGUAUUUAAAGUAAUCUGUUCCCAGAAACAUUUGUGUAGUGACUAGUGAUCAUCAUCAUCAUGUAACCUCUUUUUUUUUUUCUUUGCUUGGUAUAAUGUAACCUCUUGUAUCAACAAGCAUAAGUGAAUAAACAGUGGCCAUGUUUUUUUGUUUUUUUUUUCCUCAAUGAACGUGUGUUUGGUUGAACUUUUGAAUGUGCUGUGUUUGAUCUUCUUGCAAAGGAGACAGAAACAAUAGUUAGAUCUUGGAAUAUAUUGUAAAAAUCUGUCAGAUAUGCACCAUUAAUUAGUCCACAGACCACAGUGCAAUUUUUUUUUUACUGUCAUGUUGUUUUGUAUAUUUUCAAUCUUGAGAUUAGAUAAGAUCAAAUACACCCUGGCUAUCAAGCUUUUCAGUUUAUGAUGACUUAGCUUGAUAGCGUUUUCGGCAUCCCAGUUUCAUUCUCAUGUUAUAGACCUCUUUUUAGAUCAUCUACAUACAAGGGUACGUGCUUGAUAACGGCAAUUGCGGAAAGCUAAUUCAUGAACUCAAACUUAUCAGAUCAACAUAUAAGGGGUGCCUGAUAACUUUAUUUCCAGAUAUCACCCUCUAGGUUUCAUACAACAAUACCUUCAAUGCAACACUUCCUUAGUUCCUUACGACGAGUUGAUUCGGAUGAACCCAACACAACAGCAUAGUGAAUAGACUUCAUACAACUUGCAGAGUGAAUCAGUAAUAAAAUGAUAAUGUUUAACCCCAUAUGGAUUAAUAUGAACACUGCUAAGACACCAAAGACUCUCCAAACACUGAAUCAAUAUCCGAUUAUAUUUAGGUUACAGUUGCUCUGCAAUCCCAUUAUACCAAACAGGACUUAUGUCAUGCCACUGAAAAACGAUGUCUAGUAUAGACUUGCAACUGUAAGCUAAAUACAAUCGGACUGUCAUGCCACUGAAAAAUGAUCAGAAAAGGCUUCUGAUCCCAAGUGAAGAAGAUAACCCAAUAGGUUCAUGGAUGGAAUAUUGCAAGGAGUUUCCUGCUGUUGGGGUAAAGCUGUUAAGGGGGAUAAGUUCACCAUAAAAAAUUUGUGCAGUCAGCCUGUAAAUGGAAACCAAAUAAGAAAAAGGAAAAACAGCUGAUUUUGGUUCUAUCAUACUGGGUUUGUAGUUAGAGCGGCCGCCAAGACACAAUUAAACUCCUCAGUUCUCACAAUAACAACCUUUUGCAUAUGAACAUCUUAACUAUUAAAAUCUAGCCUCAAAAGAGUAUUCUGAUGCUAAUUCUGAAGGAUGUAAUCAGGAUUUUUAUGUAAGCCAACUUGAAUGUCAGGCCUCAGUGGCAGUAACGGCAUGUACCGUAUAGUUGCUAUGCUUUAUCAGUUUCAUCAGUCCACCAGAUGCUUAGUAUCUUAAUCUAACUAAGCAAACUGAAAAAGACAAUGAUAUGCAUCUGAGAACAUUGUACAUAACCACUCUAGCACCCCGGCUGAUUCACUUGAAACUUUAUACACAUAAUAAAACUUUCUAGCCUCAAAACAAACACCUUGGCGCCCUUUGACCUUAUCAUGUACUAGAUACUAACUUCUCACCCAACCGAAUAGACUCUUCACGUGGAGCUACAUAAACAUCCUAGGAAAAUCCAUCCUUGGAAUUCCUCUGGGCACAAGGCAACACCUAUGACACCUUCUUUAUGAUCAUUUUCGCGAAUAAAGACUGUAGGAAAAAUUCUAAGUACACAAACAAACUAGGGACAAUAUGGAAGGUAGGGGUUGAGUAGGCAAGUUCUGAAAGUUGUAAUCAAAGACUUCAGGAGAUCAACUUGAAUGUAAGGCCUCACUGGUAGUAACAGCAUUCACUGUACGGUUCUAUGUUUUAUCAUUCUUAUCAGUCCACUCGAUGCUUAAGCAAACUGACAAACAGUGAUAUGCAUCUGAGAACACUGUACAGUACCACUCCAACUGAUUCUCUUGAAACUUCCUAACAUCAUGAACUCUCUAGCCUCAAAACAAACACCUUGGGGACUUUUGACUAUUCUAUGCUAGAUAUUAGCUUCUCACACAUCCUGACUACUUCACAGAGUCACAAUAGACUCCUCACAUGGAGCUAAAUAAAUAUCCAAGGAAAAGGCAUUCCUCAGGGUACAAGGCUACACCUAGACACCACUUCUUUGUCAUUGAAUCCUGUUUUGAGACUAUUUUCUCGAAUAAAGAGUGUGGGAUGAUUUCUAAGUACACAAGCAAACUAGGGACAAUGUAUGUUCACACACUUUCCACGAACUUUAUUCAGUUGGGACUUGGGAGUGAGUGGGAGUAGGCAAGGUCAGUUCCCUAGUCUGAAAAUAAGCGUUGCAGGUGGUCACUAUGCCCACUGACCGCAAGAAGUAGUGUUACAAGAAACAAAUUGCUAUCCAUAACAAAACACUAUUUUUAUUUCAAGACCACUACAAAGAUCCAAUGUAAGAGUUUUAACAAGACUAUACCGCCAAACCUAUACCAAUUCAAACAACACAGCUGACCUGUAAAGAUAAUCCUAAUAUUGUCCUCCCUAUAUCAGUGUCUGCCAAUAGUUCUUACUUGACUUAUGACUUAUUUGCAGUCUUAUAUCUUUCUUAAAGCAAUCCAUUGAACACCAAAUAAAUAAACACAUUUGAAUAUGGUCGAUGAGACAUAUGCUCAUACGUUUGAUAAAAAAUGUAUCUACGAUGUCAGGGUCAUGUCCUCUCUGUUCCCACACUGAAUGUCUCUACAAAUUGAACAAUUUGAUAACCCUAGAUAUUUUAGCAUAAGGAUUGAUAGAAGAUGAAAUGGAUAACGUCAUAUUAGUAUACUCAUUGAUAUCAAAAAAAAAAAAAAAAAACAGCUACACCACACUCACCAACAAGUUGCUAAGUUCUCAUCAGCCAUAUAACAUACUGUAACUGCAAAUACAUUAGCUCGUACACAUCAAUUGUUGACAAAUAAACAAAACUAAACCAAAAUAAUAAAUUUCCAUUUGUCUCAAUUACCCAAUUACACAACAUUCUCCCAAGAGUGUCAAAAUAACCAAAACAAAUUACAUAACAUUAUCUUACUACUUCAACAAUCCAAAAUUCACAUCAACAUUUACCAAACAGCAAAACAAGAUGAAAAACGUAGGAAAUAAUUCAAGGAACUUGCCUUUCAGCGGCUUCAGCAACAAUCGGCAACCUAGGAAUCUGACCCAAUGCGCAAGAAGUAGAACCAUAAAUCAAAGAAACCAACAAAAACAAAAAAACAGUACUAUCUAAACUCAUUAAAAAAUCCAACCCAACCCCUUCUUUUGGAUUAAAACUUCUUUCAAUUAAAUCAGGAAAAAUUAAAAGAACAUCAAGAACAAUAGCUUGCAUAGUAUUAAACCUAACAUAUCUACUAAAAUUCCUAUUUCUAACAAUAACAAAAUAAAGUGUUAAAAAAACUAAAAACCCAUUAAAAGGAAAACUCUUAAACACACGAAUAGAUGGAAUUAAUGGUUGUAACAAAACUUGGAUUGGUGUAAAUUGAUUUAUAACAUAUUUUCCAUAUUGUAUUCCAUCAAAAAAUGGGUAGAAGUAACAAACUGCUGAGAUUAUUCUAUCAGGUAGAUCUAUAUUAUUCUUAUUCUUGUUAUUAUUAUCAUUAGAUUGUGAUAAAACUCUAAAUGAAGAAAAGGGUUUGAUAGGUUUGUUAAGUAGAUAUGAGUGUUUGAAGAAAUGGGUUUUUUUAAAAAGUGGUGAGAAAGAUAAUAGAGAAGAUGAUGGAGUUGUUGCCAUUGAUGAUGAAUUGAGAGUUUUGUUUUUUUUGUUUUUUUUUUUUUUCUUGGUUUUCAAUGACUUUAGUCCCACAUUGGUUAAAUAUAGGUUAUUUUUUAAUAAUUUAUUUUAGGUUGAAAGAUAAAGAAUUGCCGAGCUAGGUAACUUCAGCUUGUAACCCAAUGUGGGGGUAUUAAAGUAGUUAAGUUGGUUUGGUUCAGCCUCUAGUCAUGGUUUGAUUUGGCUAACCAUGUUGGUUGCCGUUUGAAACCGGCCCACCUGUUGAAACCAUGUUACAUGGUAUGAAACACCUCCACAAAAAAUGAAAUGUGGAGAGGUGAGCACCUUGGUGACAACCACCAAAGGUAAGAGGUAAACUGUGGCUUAGGGGCUG